This 253-nucleotide ribosomal RNA is filed under the name uncultured bacterium. RNAcentral's name for it is "partial 16S ribosomal RNA". It matches the Rfam family "Bacterial small subunit ribosomal RNA", at positions 524 to 776 of the family's 1533-position model. The record is from RNAcentral.
UACGAAGGGGGCUAGCGUUGUUCGGAAUCACUGGGCGUAAAGGGCGCGUAGGCGGCCGAUCAAGUCGGGGGUGAAAGCCUGUGGCUCAACCACAGAAUUGCCUUCGAUACUGUUUGGCUUGAGACCGGAAGAGGUAAGUGGAACUGCGAGUGUAGAGGUGAAAUUCGUAGAUAUUCGCAAGAACACCAGUGGCGAAGGCGGCUCACUGGUCCGGUUCUGACGCUGAGGCGCGAAAGCGUGGGGAGCAAACAGG